GACGUAGGGCGCGAGCGUUGUCCGGAUUUAUUGGGCGUAAAGAGCUCGUAGGCGGCUUGUCGCGUCGUCCGUGAAAACCUGCAGCUCAACUGCAGGCUUGCGGUCGAUACGGGCAGGCUGGAGUUCGGUAGGGGAGACUGGAAUUCCCGGUGUAGCGGUGAAAUGCGUAGAUAUCGGGAAGAACACCAAAGGCGAAAGCACUCUGCUGGGCCGAAACUGACACUGAUAGACGAAAGCUAGGGGAGCAAAUGGG
Molecule: ribosomal RNA, 253 nt
Filed under: uncultured bacterium
Lineage: Bacteria
Description: partial 16S ribosomal RNA
Rfam family: Bacterial small subunit ribosomal RNA
Source: RNAcentral